UGGGGAAUUUUGGACAAUGGGGGAAACCCUGAUCCAGCCAUCCCGCGUGUGCGAUGAAGGCCUUCGGGUUGUAAAGCACUUUUGGCAGGAAAGAAACGUCAUGGGUUAAGACCCCGUGAAACUGACGGUACCUGCAGAAUAAGCACCGGCUAACUACGUGCCAGCAGCCGCGGUAAUACGUAGGGUGCAAGCGUUAAUCGGAAUUACUGGGCGUAAAGCGUGCGCAGGCGGUUCGGAAAGAAAGAUGUGAAAUCCCAGAGCUCAACUUUGGAACUGCAUUUUUAACUACCGGGCUAGAGUGUGUCAGAGGGAGGUGGAAUUCCGCGUGUAGCAGUGAAAUGCGUAGAUAUGCGGAGGAACACCGAUGGCGAAGGCAGCCUCCUGGGAUAACACUGACGCUCAUGCACGAAAGCGUGGGGAGCAAACAGG
RNAcentral lists this ribosomal RNA (429 nucleotides) under Acidobacteriota bacterium. RNAcentral's name for it is "Acidobacteria bacterium partial 16S ribosomal RNA". It matches the Rfam family "Bacterial small subunit ribosomal RNA", at positions 355 to 776 of the family's 1533-position model. The record is from RNAcentral. Lineage: Bacteria; Pseudomonadati; Acidobacteriota.